GGAUGUAGAUGCCCAUAUCCCUAAUUAUCCGAAUCUUCCUUCAAAGCUAUUAUGUCUCCUUCAUAAUGUGACCUUGCAUGCGGACCCGGAAACAGAUGAAGUUUAUGCUCAGAUGACCCUCCAACCUGUUCCUUCUUUUGACAAAGAUGCAUUACUGAGAUCAGAUCUUUCACUGAAGUCAAAUAAAGCACAAACAGAGUUUUUCUGUAAAACAUUAACAGCAAGUGACACAAGUACUCAUGGAGGCUUUUCUGUGCCCCGUCGUGCGGCUGAGAAGAUUUUCCCCCCUCUUGAUUUCUCCAUGCAACCGCCUGCCCAAGAACUUGUAGCUAGGGAUUUGCAUGACAAUGUCUGGACUUUCCGUCAUAUCUAUCGUGGACAACCAAAGCGUCACUUGCUUACAACAGGUUGGAGCCUGUUUGUUAGUGGAAAGAGGCU
RNAcentral lists this unclassified non-coding RNA (438 nucleotides) under Hevea brasiliensis (rubber tree). Lineage: Eukaryota; Viridiplantae; Streptophyta; Magnoliopsida; Malpighiales; Euphorbiaceae. The record is from RNAcentral.